AACGAACGCUGGCGGCAGGCCUAACACAUGCAAGUCGAGCGAGGACUUCGGUUCUAGCGGCGGACGGGUGGGUAACGCGUGGGAAUGUGCCCUUCUCUACGGAAUAGCCCUGGGAAACUGGGAGUAAUACCGUAUACGACCUAUUGGGGAAAGCUUUAUCGGAGAAGGAUCAGCCCGCGUCUGAUUAGGUAGUUGGUGGGGUAAUGGCCUACCAAGCCGACGAUCCCUAGCUGGUUUGAGAGGAUGAUCAGCCACACUGGGACUGAGACACGGCCCAGACUCCUACGGGAGGCAGCAGUGGGGAAUCUUAGACAAUGGGGGCAACCCUGAUCUAGCCAUGCCGCGUGAGUGAUGAAGUCCUUAGGGUUGUAAAGCUCUUUCAGCUGGGAAGAUAAUGACGGUACCAGCAGAAGAAGCCCCGGCUAACUCCGUG
This 433-nucleotide ribosomal RNA is filed under the name uncultured bacterium. RNAcentral describes it as "partial 16S ribosomal RNA". It matches the Rfam family "Bacterial small subunit ribosomal RNA", at positions 29 to 507 of the family's 1533-position model. The record is from RNAcentral.